CUCAGUAACAAAGAAGAUUCAAGAUGAUGCAGGCUAGUGCACUUCAAAAUUCAGCGAGUGAAUUCUGAUCCAGGGGACCUGAGAGGAGACCUGAGAUUCUGCUCUUAUAACCACCAGCUUGAGGUGGAGUUGAAACUACCAGUCCUGGGCCACACAGCAAGGCUGAAGGUCACGGCAGUCACGAAUUCAAGCACUGAGAAGCUCCAGUCCAGAUCCAUCCUGUUGAUUAUGUAUCUCCUAAAAUGUUGUCCUACAUACUGUAGGUAUUAAAAAGUAAGUGUUGACACAUGAGUAAACAAAGGUUUAGU
This 308-nucleotide long non-coding RNA is filed under the name Chinchilla lanigera (long-tailed chinchilla). Its description in RNAcentral is "lncRNA (ENSCLAG00000024995.1)". Lineage: Eukaryota; Metazoa; Chordata; Mammalia; Rodentia; Chinchillidae. The record is from RNAcentral.